RNAcentral lists this ribosomal RNA (705 nucleotides) under uncultured Actinomycetes bacterium. Its description in RNAcentral is "bacterial SSU rRNA". It matches the Rfam family "Bacterial small subunit ribosomal RNA", at positions 743 to 1448 of the family's 1533-position model. Lineage: Bacteria; Bacillati; Actinomycetota; Actinomycetes. The record is from RNAcentral.
ACGCUGAGGAGCGAGAGCGUGGGUAGCAAACAGGAUUAGAUACCCUGGUAGUCCACGCCGUAAACGAUGGGCACUAGGUGUGGGUCUCUAACCAACGAGAUCUGCGCCGUCGCUAACGCAUUAAGUGCCCCGCCUGGGGAGUACGGUCGCAAGACUAAAACUCAAAGGAAUUGACGGGGGCCCGCACAAGCAGCGGAGCGUGUUGCUUAAUUCGAUGCUACGCGAAGAACCUUACCUAGGUUAAAUCAUUGGGAAAAGCCACAGAGAUGUGGUGUCCUUCGGGGCUCAAUGAAGGUGGUGCAUGGCUGUCGUCAGCUCGUGUCGUGAGAUGUUGGGUUAAGUCCCGCAACGAGCGCAACCCUCAUCCUAUGUUGCCAGCGCGUAAUGGCGGGGACUCGUAGGAGACUGCCGGGGUCAACUCGGAGGAAGGUGGGGAUGACGUCAAGUCAUCAUGCCCCUUAUGUCUAGGGCUGCAAACACGCUACAAUGGCCGGUACAAAGGGCUGCGAAACCGCGAGGUUUAGCGAAUCCCAUAAAGCCGGUCUCAGUUCGGAUUGGAGGCUGCAACUCGCCUCCAUGAAGCUGGAGUUGCUAGUAAUCCCGGAUCAGCACGCCGGGGUGAAUACGUUCCCGGGCCUUGUACACACCGCCCGUCACACCACGAAAGUCGGCAACACCCGAAGCCGGUGGCCUAACCGUAAGGAA